CACACCUGCCGAAAAGGGACACUGCAUUACUGGCAUGCCUGCCCUGGGGCUGAGGGAAGGACAACAGGCAGGAAGCUCCUGGUCUCGAAGCUCCUGGUCUCCCGACAGCAGGAAAACCUCUGAAAAGAUAAGCAGGCUAACUGAACAGCCAGAAGAGGUGUAUCCAAGAAACUGCCCAGGCCAAGGCAGCUGGUUUGCAAUCCCCUCGCGCGAUCGAUUUCCGUGACUGGAUUUAGGAAGAUCUGUUAGCACAGAAGUUCAUUAAACAGAACUGACCACUGAUGGAAUUCCAGCAGUCAGUGGACUUACACAAGGGAUAAGCAUGACUCAUUACCAGUCUGCAGCUCUGUACCUCAAAACCCAGAGGAGCCUGUCCUUCUUGGCCUCCAAUCAUAGAAGGUUUUGUAUCAAAGAAGCAUCCUAAAUAAGAGAAUUCUUGUAGCUCUGAGAAGGACAGAUUGCAUGGGGAUUUCCUGCUUUUGAGAUGUCUACCAUUUACCAGAAAUAUUAAGAACAAAUCCUCCUUCCAACCCUUCCUGUUCAUACAAGCUGUGUGUGCCACAGCCCUGCAUUUUGAAAAGCGUCGUGAAAAUAAAAAAACUGAGCCAAACCAAAUCCUUGUGCAAAAUCUGCAUAGAUACACUGUGCACUCUUACAUGAUGAGCAUGGAAUUUAGGGCUGGUGGAAGGUGUAGAUUGGUACGUUUCAUACCUAGAAAUGCUGCACAGAGUGUGUUAAGAUGCACCACAAAGAUAACUGCUUCAAACCAAAGUG
Molecule: long non-coding RNA, 774 nt
Organism: Lepidothrix coronata (blue-crowned manakin)
Lineage: Eukaryota; Metazoa; Chordata; Aves; Passeriformes; Pipridae
Exons: 4
Source: RefSeq, a predicted model, not a curated record